UACAGAAGCCCCGAGCAUUACCCGGAUUCACUGGGCGUAAAGGGUGCGUAGGCGGAUAUGUUAGUCGGGUGUUAAAUCCUGAGGCUCAACCUCAGGCUCGCAUCCGAAACGGCAUAUCUAGAAGGUGUGAGAGGUAAACAGAACUCAUGGUGUAGGGGUGAAAUCCGUUGAUUUCAUGGGGAAUACCAAAUGCGAAGGCAGUUUACUGGCACAUUCUUGACGCUGAGGCACGAAAGCGUGGGUAGCGAACGGG
This 253-nucleotide unclassified non-coding RNA is filed under the name Candidatus Kaiserbacteria bacterium. RNAcentral's name for it is "contains 16S-23S intergenic spacer region". It matches the Rfam family "Bacterial small subunit ribosomal RNA", at positions 524 to 776 of the family's 1533-position model. Lineage: Bacteria; Candidatus Kaiseribacteriota. The record is from RNAcentral.